CAACAGCGUUUUGCCCAGUCCACUCUCCAGGCCAUAGGCGAUUUUUUUUUCUUUUGCAACUAUAAUCGAUCUUUAAAUUUAUCAGCAACAAUAUUAAGACGUUGGUGUGGUAGCCUACGAUCAGCAGUUACGUCAAUGAUAUUAUGAUCUUGUAUUACCUCAUCUAAUCGAGCUUGUAUACACGGAAUGUUAGACUUUUUUCCACUAAGCAACCUAAUAGGUGAAAAGCCGGUCGAUUGCUGUACAGUAGUGUUUAAGGAAAGUUAUACUUUCCACAACCCACAGAACGCUCGGCCAGUCUGACACAUUGGUAUAAGAAGUGCUUAUCAUAUUUGUUAUUGUAGCUACGUACCGUUCGACUUGGCCAUUCCCCCGGGGAGUACCAGUCGCUACCAUAU
This 398-nucleotide unclassified non-coding RNA is filed under the name Melitaea cinxia (Glanville fritillary). RNAcentral describes it as "misc RNA ENSMCXG00005005197.1". Lineage: Eukaryota; Metazoa; Arthropoda; Insecta; Lepidoptera; Nymphalidae. The record is from RNAcentral.